RNAcentral lists this ribosomal RNA (473 nucleotides) under uncultured bacterium. Its description in RNAcentral is "partial 16S ribosomal RNA". It matches the Rfam family "Bacterial small subunit ribosomal RNA", at positions 28 to 507 of the family's 1533-position model. The record is from RNAcentral.
GAUAAACGCUGGCGGCGCACAUAAGACAUGCAAGUUGAACGGACUUAAUCGAAAUAUUUAUAUUUUGAAGCGGUUAGUGGCGGACUGGUGAGUAACGCGUAAGGAACCUGCCUAUUAGAGGGGAAUAACAGUGAGAAAUCAUUGCUAAUACCGCAUAUGCCAUAGAUAUCACAUGAUAACAGUGGGAAAGGAGCAAUCCGCUAAUAGAUGGCCUUGCGUCUGAUUAGAUAGUUGGUGGGGUAACGACCUACCAAGUCGACGAUCAGUAGCCGGACUGAGAGGUUGAACGGCCAAAUUGGGACUGAGAUACGGCCCAGACUCCUACGGGAGGCAGCAGUCGGGAAUAUUGCGCAAUGGAGGAAACUAUGACGCAGUGACGCCGCGUAUAGGAAGAAGGUUUUCGGAUUGGAAACUAUUGUCGUUAGGGAAGAGAAAGGACAGUACCUAAGGAGGAAGCUCCGGCUAACUACGUG